CUUAGCGGCGGACGGGUGAGUAACGCGUGGGUAACCUGCCUCAUACAGGGGGAUAACAGUUGGAAACGGCUGCUAAUACCGCAUAAGCGCACAGUACCGCAUGGUACCGUGUGAAAAACUCCGGUGGUAUGAGAUGGACCCGCGUCUGAUUAGGUAGUUGGUGGGGUAACGGCCUACCAAGCCGACGAUCAGUAGCCGACCUGAGAGGGUGACCGGCCACAUUGGGACUGAGACAUGGCCCAA
Molecule: ribosomal RNA, 243 nt
Filed under: uncultured bacterium
Lineage: Bacteria
Description: partial 16S ribosomal RNA
Rfam family: Bacterial small subunit ribosomal RNA
Source: RNAcentral